GGAAUGUUACAACUGCUCAUCUACUUAUAUGUGUUUUGAACUUAGUUUUAGUACUUUGAUCAUUGCUUUGCCUUUUGGUUUUUUUUCACAUUUGAGCAUUUUUUUUUUCAUAAACUGCACUGCAGUUUCAAUUUUUUAUUAGAAACGGCAAUGCAGUUUCCUGUUCCAUAUUUCGAUUUUAGAAUAAUUUUUUUUCAAAUCUAUGAGAAUGCUACAACUGCUCAUCGACUUAAAUGUGUUUUGAACUUAGUUUUAGUACUUUGAUCAUGGCUUUGCCUUUUGGUUUCUUUGCAAAUUUGAACAGAUGUUUUGUCAUAAACUGCAUUGCAGUUUCCGUUGCAGUUUUUUAUCAUAAAUUGCAAGGCAGUUUCCUGUUCCAUUUCCAUUUGUUGCAUCCCGUUAUAAGAUUAUAUGAGAGAAGAGAUAUAUAACAAAUCUUUUCUCAGAUUAGGCUGACCACAUCCUUGUUGUAAUCAAC
This 478-nucleotide long non-coding RNA is filed under the name Prunus persica (peach). RNAcentral's name for it is "long non-coding RNA (PPER_LNC001101)". Lineage: Eukaryota; Viridiplantae; Streptophyta; Magnoliopsida; Rosales; Rosaceae. The record is from RNAcentral.